Molecule: ribosomal RNA, 827 nt
Filed under: uncultured bacterium
Lineage: Bacteria
Description: bacterial SSU rRNA
Rfam family: Bacterial small subunit ribosomal RNA
Source: RNAcentral
AGAGUUUGAUCCUGGCUCAGGAUGAACGCUUGCAGUAUACUUGACACAUGCUAGUCAAAUGUUUUUAAACAUGGCGAACGGGUGAGUAAUGUAUAAGAAUCUACCUUAAAGUUUGGAAUAAUCAUAUUUUUUUAAGAAUGCUCUGCAGUGAUAACUCCAAGAAAAGCUCAAUGCUGCUUUAAGAUGAGCUUAUAUAGGAUUAAGUUGUUGGUGAGGUAAUGGCUCACCAAGCUGAUGAUCCUUAGCUGGUCUGAGAGGAUGAUCAGCCACACUGGGACUGAGAUAAGGCCCAGGCUUUUAGCCAGCAGUGAGGAAUCUUGGACAAUGCGCGGAAGCGUGAUCCAGUAAUACUGCGUGAAUGAGGAAAGCAAAAAAGGUUUGUUAGUCAUUAGAUUUUCAAAUCGGUUGUAAAAUUCUUUCACUGAUGAAGAUUAUGACUUUAUUCGUGCCAGCAGCCGCGGUAAUACGAAGGGGGCGAGCGUUAUCCGGAAUGAUUGGGCGUAAAGGGUUCGUAGGCGGUAUUUGUUGUUAUAUGUAAAAUUCUAGAUUUAUUAUUUAGGUAUGCGUAUAAUACUCUUUUACUUGAGUAUAGCAGAGGAUAACAGAAUUUCACAUAUAGGGGUAAAAUCCAAUCAUUUGUGAAGGAAUGCCAGCGGCGAAAGCGGUUAUCUGGGCUAUUUACUGACGCUGAGGAACGAAAGCAUAGGGAGCAAACAGGAUUAGAUACCCUGGUAGUCUAUGCUGUCAAAGAUGAGUGCUAAUAUUGGGAUAAUUUCUGAUAUAAAGUUAACACGUUAAGCACUCCGCCUGGGAAGUACGGUCGCAAG